RNAcentral lists this ribosomal RNA (253 nucleotides) under Tepidisphaera sp. RNAcentral describes it as "partial 16S ribosomal RNA". It matches the Rfam family "Bacterial small subunit ribosomal RNA", at positions 524 to 776 of the family's 1533-position model. Lineage: Bacteria; Pseudomonadati; Planctomycetota; Phycisphaerae; Tepidisphaerales; Tepidisphaeraceae. The record is from RNAcentral.
GACAGAGGUGCCAAGCGUUAGGCGGAAUCACUGGGCUUAAAGCGUGUGUAGGUGGAGGCCUAAGUACCUUGUGAAAUCCCACGGCUCAACCGUGGAACUGCUCGGUAUACUGGGUCUCUUGGGCCACUUAGGGGCUACCGGAACAAAUGGUGGAGCGGUGAAAUGCGUAGAUAUCAUUUGGAACGCCAAUGGUGAAAACAGGUAGCUGGGAGUGUGCUGACACUGAGACACGAAAGCCAGGGGAGCGAACGGG